Molecule: ribosomal RNA, 774 nt
Filed under: Chaetomium sp. 799_1_Y01
Lineage: Eukaryota; Fungi; Ascomycota; Sordariomycetes; Sordariales; Chaetomiaceae
Description: eukaryotic LSU rRNA
Rfam family: Eukaryotic large subunit ribosomal RNA
Source: RNAcentral
AACAGCUCAAAUUUGAAAUCUGGCUUCGGCCCGAGUUGUAAUUUGUAGAGGAUGCUUUGGGCGCGGCUCCAACUGAGUUCCCUGGAACGGGACGCCACAGAGGGUGAGAGCCCCGUAUAGUUGGAUGCCUAGCCUAUGUAAAGCUCCUUCGACGAGUCGAGUAGUUUGGGAAUGCUGCUCUAAAUGGGAGGUAAAUUUCUUCUAAAGCUAAAUAUUGGCCAGAGACCGAUAGCGCACAAGUAGAGUGAUCGAAAGAUGAAAAGCACUUUGAAAAGAGGGUUAAAUAGCACGUGAAAUUGUUGAAAGGGAAGCGCUUGUGACCAGACUUGCGCCUGGCGGAUCAUCCGGUGUUCUCACCGGUGCACUCCGCCAGGCACAGGCCAGCAUCGGUUCUCGUGGGGGGAUAAAGGUCCCGGGAACGUAGCUCCUUCGGGAGUGUUAUAGCCCGGGGCGUAAUGCCCUCGCGGGGACCGAGGUUCGCGCAUCUGCAAGGAUGCUGGCGUAAUGGUCAUCAGCGACCCGUCUUGAAACACGGACCAAGGAGUCAAGGUUUUGCGCGAGUGUUUGGGUGUAAAACCCGCACGCGUAAUGAAAGUGAACGUAGGUGAGAGCUUCGGCGCAUCAUCGACCGAUCCUGAUGUAUUCGGAUGGAUUUGAGUAAGAGCGUUAAGCCUUGGACCCGAAAGAUGGUGAACUAUGCUUGGAUAGGGUGAAGCCAGAGGAAACUCUGGUGGAGGCUCGCAGCGGUUCUAACGUGCAAGUCGAUCGUCAAAU